GGACUACCGGGGUAUCUAAUCCCGUUCGCUACCCACGCUUUCGUGUUUGAGUGUCAGGAACGCGCCAGUGCACUGCCUUCGCUUUCGGUAUUCCCCUAGAUAUCAACGGAUUUCACCCCUACACCUAGAGUUCUAUGCACCUCUCACGCCCUCGAGUCAUACCGUUUCGCCCGCACUUCCAAGGUUAGGCCCUGGGUUUUAACGGACGACUAAUAUGACCACCUACACACGCUUUACGCCCAGUGAUUCCGGGUAACGCUUGGGGCCUCUGUAUUACCGCGGCUGCUGGCAC
This 292-nucleotide ribosomal RNA is filed under the name uncultured bacterium. RNAcentral's name for it is "partial 16S ribosomal RNA". The record is from RNAcentral.